UCAUACGCUCGUCUCAAAGAUUAAGCCAUGCAUGUGUAAGUAUAAAUAUUUAACUUUGAAACUGCGAAUGGCUCAUUAUAUCAGUUAUAGUUUAUUUGAUGAAAAGUACUACUUGGAUAACCGUAGUAAUUCUAGAGCUAAUACAUGAUAAAAUCCUCGACUUUGAAGAGGUGUAUUUAUUAGAAUGAAACCAAUAGACUUCGGUCUGUUUGUGAGUAAUAAUAACUAAUCGUAUCGCAUGCUUAGGUAGCGAUAUGUCUUUCAAGUUUCUGCCCUAUCAGCUUUGGAUGGUAGUGUAUUGGACUACCAUGGCAGUAACGGGUAACGAAGAAUUUGGGUUCGAUUUCGGAGAGGGAGCCUGAGAGAUGGCUACCACAUCCAAGGAAGGCAGCAGGCGCGUAAAUUACCCAAUCCUGACAUAGGGAGGUAGUGACAAUAAAUCACAAUGCGGANCUAUUAGUUUUGCAAUUGGAUUGAGAACAAUGUACAAAUGUUAUCGAUAAACAAUUGGAGGGCAAGUCUGGUGCCAGCAGCCGCGGUAAUUCCAGCUCCAAUAGCGUAUAUUAACG
Molecule: ribosomal RNA, 569 nt
Filed under: Blastocystis sp. subtype 4
Lineage: Eukaryota; Bigyra; Opalinata; Blastocystidae
Description: SSU rRNA
Rfam family: Eukaryotic small subunit ribosomal RNA
Source: RNAcentral